UACGUAGGUGACCAGCGUUGUCCGGAAUUACUGGGCGUAAAGCGCACGUAGGUGGCUUUGUAAGUUAGAGGUGAAAGCCCGGGGCUCAACUCCGGAAUUGCCUUUAAGACUGCAUCGCUAGAACGUCGGAGAGGUAAGUGGAAUUCCGAGUGUAGAGGUGAAAUUCGUAGAUAUUCGGAAGAACACCAGUGGCGAAGGCGACUUACUGGACGACUGUUGACACUGAGGUGCGAAAGCGUGGGGAGCAAACAGG
Molecule: ribosomal RNA, 253 nt
Filed under: uncultured bacterium
Lineage: Bacteria
Description: partial 16S ribosomal RNA
Rfam family: Bacterial small subunit ribosomal RNA
Source: RNAcentral